GCAGCACAGCGUGGCGUCCCCAGCACCUUCCCCUGCUCAGCAAUGCCCACGCAGCAGUGUCUAGCUGAGAGAAGAGGAGAGUGUUUUAUGCAGAAAAUGCCAAACUGACCCUUUUCGACCAUGAGGAAAAUUUCCUCAGUGUUCAGAACAUGAAAAUCUCUGGGAGAGAACCUCGUCUUUUCAACUGCCCCCUCAGCCUCAGUACCCCAAGGCAGUGCCAUGGCAGAGCAGACACAGGAGGGGCUUUCCAUGCAACCUGGAUGCUUCCCAGGGCCUUGCAUGGAUCCGGAAGGAACUGUCAUCCCUGCAGCUGGACCUGGCUGCAGCACGGUGUGGUGGCACUGCACUGGUGCUGAGCAACACGUGCCUGCGCUGCCUGCCUCGAGGACUUGCCUGAGUUCACCAGGGUCUCUGUGGCAGGGUACGGUGCUGAGCCAAGAGAGGUGCUUGAGGAGCUGUCCGCUCAGUGCCGCUCGGCGUGGAAAGGAUUAAUCGGAUGAGGGAAACGGUGAGGGAAUAUCAACUUCAUUCCUGCAGUGAAGAAACUGUGCCAUUAAAA
RNAcentral lists this long non-coding RNA (559 nucleotides) under Gallus gallus (chicken). RNAcentral describes it as "long non-coding RNA NONGGAT004650". Lineage: Eukaryota; Metazoa; Chordata; Aves; Galliformes; Phasianidae. The record is from RNAcentral.